CACCGCGGUCAUACAAGAGACCCAAAUUAACUGUAUCACGGCGUAAAGAGUGGUGCUACGCUAUCACAACAACUAGGAUCGAAAUACAAUUGAGCUGUCAUAAGCUUAAAGUGUACCUAAGGCCACCCUCAACAUGAUCCUAGCACCAGUGACCAACUUCCCCCCACGAAAGCUAGGAUA
Molecule: ribosomal RNA, 180 nt
Filed under: Caprimulgus indicus (Indian jungle nightjar)
Lineage: Eukaryota; Metazoa; Chordata; Aves; Caprimulgiformes; Caprimulgidae
Description: partial 12S rRNA
Source: RNAcentral